This 72-nucleotide transfer RNA is filed under the name Aeromonas phage Akh-2. Its description in RNAcentral is "tRNA-Trp". It matches the Rfam family "tRNA". From Rfam's summary of the family: Transfer RNA (tRNA) molecules are approximately 80 nucleotides in length. Lineage: Duplodnaviria; Heunggongvirae; Uroviricota; Caudoviricetes; Demerecviridae. The record is from RNAcentral.
AGGAACGUAGUGUAACGGCAACAUGCAGGUCUCCAAAACCUUGCGUUCUAGGUUCGAAUCCUAGCGUUUCUG